AACGCGAAGAACCUUACCCAGGUUUGAAAUGGUGCGGACAGUAUCAGAGAUGAUAUCUCCCGCAAGGGUCGCACCACAGGUGCUGCAUGGCUGUCGUCAGCUCGUGCUGUGAGGUGUUGGGUUAAGUCCCGCAACGAGCGCAACCCUUAUCAUUAGUUGCCAUCACGUUAGGGUGGGCACUCUAGUGAGACUGCCCGGGUUAACUGGGAGGAAGGUGAGGAUGACGUCAAGUCAGCAUGGCCCUUAUGUCUGGGGCUACACACGUGCUACAAUGGUCGGUACAGAAGGAAGCAAGACCGCGAGGUGGAGCAAAUCCGAAAAACCGGCCUCAGUUCAGAUUGCAGUCUGCAACUCGACUGCAUGAAGAUGGAAUUGCUAGUAAUGGCGUGUCAGCAAUAGCGCCGUGAAUACGUUCCCGGGCCUUGUACACACCGACUGUAC
Molecule: ribosomal RNA, 441 nt
Filed under: uncultured bacterium
Lineage: Bacteria
Description: bacterial SSU rRNA
Rfam family: Bacterial small subunit ribosomal RNA
Source: RNAcentral